CAACAAGUGGUUUUUGAUAUUUUUAGUUUAAUUUUCUUUAAAUUCAGUGAUUUAGUGGACGAUUGAUAAAAUGGCCUAAAUUGGCGAUGAAAUUAUUUAUUUUGAUAUCGGUGAAGAAAUACUAAACAUGAUGAAAGGUUUAUGUGAAUAUUUUACUGAACAAAACCAUCAUAUAUUCUAUAUUUUAUAUGAGGCUAUACGAGGUAACACAAGUAAAAGAUCGUCUAAAGUUGAUUACUGAAGUUAAGAAAAGUAUUCUACCUCCUCUGCUGCACGUUAGGUUGCUUAAAAUAAAACUUAAAUUGAAAACAGCAAUAGAAUCAGGAUUACACCCAAUCUGAUGAAAACUUGGAAGAUUAUAAAAAUAAAAAACCAAGCAUGUAAUGGAAUAUCAAUGUCAACACAAGGUGAAUAUACUAUAGCAUACAAACCGAUGUGGGAACUAGGAACAGUAAAUGUGCCAAAUACUGACCCAAUUGUUGAGACAUAUACAGUGAAGCUGCUGAUGAUUUGAUAAUUAAAAUUGAACUACAAGAAUUAUCAAUUGAAUUAAGACAUUAAACAGGAAAUUGAGGAAGACCCUGAAUCGUGUUCAGAGGAUGGCAAAACAUGUUUGAAGAGGUUUAUGGAAUUCCAUAGUAAAGAUAGAAGAGGAAGUCCAACAGGAAUAAAUUCAGACUCCUCCUUAUAAAUGUGACAAGUGUAAUCGAUUAUUUAGAAAGUUGAAUCAUUUAGAACAGCAUAUGGUAAAACGUAGUCAUAAGUGUAUUCACUGUACAAAAAUUUUGAAGAUGCGAGUGCAUUAGAAAUACACCUGAGAAUUCAUACAGGUAAAAAACCUUUUGCAUGUGAAAUAUGCGAUAAAACUUACACAGUCAAAUAUUAUUUAAUAAUUAUUAUAAUUUAUUUAAAAUCGACAUGUUUGCACUCUUGCCAGGCAACAAACUUCAAAUUUUAAUGUAUCCGAUAAUCAAAAACUAAAUAUCAUGCUAAUACUGCAAAG
Molecule: long non-coding RNA, 1003 nt
Organism: Ctenocephalides felis (cat flea)
Lineage: Eukaryota; Metazoa; Arthropoda; Insecta; Siphonaptera; Pulicidae
Exons: 4
Source: RefSeq, a predicted model, not a curated record